This 341-nucleotide unclassified non-coding RNA is filed under the name Hevea brasiliensis (rubber tree). The record is from RNAcentral. Lineage: Eukaryota; Viridiplantae; Streptophyta; Magnoliopsida; Malpighiales; Euphorbiaceae.
AGUUGCCGUAUUGAUCACCAAGAAAACUGUGAAGAAAAAACGGAUGCAUUUCUCAAAAGGAUAUUCUAUAUUUAUGGAGGGUAUGACAACCGAGAAGGCAUGUCGAAGCUCAAUACUCUCAUGGAAGAAGUUGAGGGAAAGUUUGGAGCAAACAGAAUAUUUUACCUUUCUGUGCCUCAAGAAGCACUUAUCGACGUAGCAUCCUCUCUUGCUGAAAAAGCCCAAACCCGGAGGGGUUGGAAUCGUGUAAUAACUGAAAAACCCUUUGGUCUGGGUUCGUUUUCUUCUCAUCAGUUGACUACCUCCCUUCUCUCAAACUUUGAGGAAAAGCAAUUAUACAG